This 255-nucleotide ribosomal RNA is filed under the name uncultured bacterium. Its description in RNAcentral is "partial 16S ribosomal RNA". It matches the Rfam family "Bacterial small subunit ribosomal RNA", at positions 524 to 776 of the family's 1533-position model. The record is from RNAcentral.
UACAGAGGGUGCGAGCGUUGUCCGGAAUCACUGGGCGUAAAGGGCGCGUAGGUGGCGACCCAAGUCGAUGGUGAAAGCUCGCCGCUCAACGGCGAGUCGGCCACCGAUACUGGGUUGCUGGAGCACUGUAGAGGCUCAUGGAAUUCCGGGUGUAGCGGUGGAAUGCGGUAGAGAUCCGGAAGAACACCGGUGGCGAAGGCGGUGAGCUGGGCAGUUGCUGACACUGAGGCGCGGACAGCGUGGGGAGCAAACAGG